RNAcentral lists this ribosomal RNA (300 nucleotides) under Triticum aestivum (bread wheat). Its description in RNAcentral is "partial small subunit ribosomal RNA". The record is from RNAcentral. Lineage: Eukaryota; Viridiplantae; Streptophyta; Magnoliopsida; Poales; Poaceae.
AUGCCUACCGCAGCAGCCGCGCCGUCCGCAGCGCUAGCGCCGCCCGCGCCACCCGCAAGCAUGGGUGAAGGAAGCUUGGACGUGGAAGGCUUCAUCGUCAUGGAGCCCUUUUUCUUGGGCGCCAUGGAAGGUGAUGAUGAUGAUCUUGAAGAAACUGGCGCGCUAACUGCUAGACCAGAUUUGCACAGCCUCACGCCCCCUACCUGGCGCGUCAAAGAUGUCGGGGAACGACACCUAUGGGAUCCCGGGGAUCCCUUCUAUGGUUGGCGGGGCGUGGAGCUGCGCAAAGAGCAGAUCUAG